AGAGUUUGAUCAUGGCUCAGAUUGAACGCUGGCGGAAUGCUUUACACAUGCAAGUCGAGCGGCAGCGCGGGGGCAACCCUGGCGGCGAGCGGCGAACGGGUGAGUAAUACAUCGGAACAUGUCCAGUUGUGGGGGAUAGCCCGGCGAAAGCCGGAUUAAUACCGCAUGAGCUCGAGAGAGGAAAGCGGGGGACCGUAAGGCCUCGCGCGACUGGGUUGGCCGAUGUCCGAUUAGCUAGUUGGUGGGGUAAAGGCCUACCAAGGCGAUGAUCGGUAGCUGGUCUGAGAGGAUGAUCAGCCACACUGGGACUGAGACACGGCCCAGACUCCUACGGGAGGCAGCAGUGGGGAAUUUUGGACAAUGGGGGAAACCCUGAUCCAGCCAUUCCGCGUGAGUGAAGAAGGCCUUCGGGUUGUAAAGCUCUUUUGUCCGGAGCGAAACGGUUACGGUGAAUAUCCGUGACUACUGACGGUACCGGAAGAAUAAGCACCGGCUAACUACGUGCCAGCAGCCGCGGUAAUACGUAGGGUGCGAGCGUUAAUCGGAAUUACUGGGCGUAAAGCGUGCGCAGGCGGGCUUUUAAGCCAGACGUGAAAUCCCCGGGCUUAACCUGGGAAUGGCGUUUGGGACUGGAAGUCUGGAGUGCGGCAGAGGAGACUGGAAUUCCUGGUAGCAGUGAAAUGCGUAGAUAUCAGGAGGAACACCGAUGGCGAAGGCAGGUCUCUGGGCUGACACUGACGCUCAUGCACGAAAGCGUGGGGAGCAAACAGGAUUAGAUACCCUAGUAGUCC
Molecule: ribosomal RNA, 791 nt
Filed under: uncultured bacterium
Lineage: Bacteria
Description: bacterial SSU rRNA
Rfam family: Bacterial small subunit ribosomal RNA
Source: RNAcentral